AACGAGGCCGACCUGCGGCUGAGUUACCUGCGGAAGGAUCAUUAUCGUUGGGCUCCUGCCCAUUCGAGAUAACACCCUUGCCUUUUUGAGUACCUUUUCGUUUCCUCGGCAGGCACGCCUGCCAACGGGGACCCUUCAAAACGCUUUGUAAUACCUGUCAUUGUCUGAUAUAACAAGCAAAAAUCAAAACUUUCAGCAAUGGAUCU
RNAcentral lists this unclassified non-coding RNA (206 nucleotides) under soil metagenome. RNAcentral's name for it is "partial contains 5.8S ribosomal RNA, internal transcribed spacer 2, and large subunit ribosomal RNA". The record is from RNAcentral.